Misgurnus anguillicaudatus (oriental weatherfish) is the source of this 1211-nucleotide non-coding RNA. Lineage: Eukaryota; Metazoa; Chordata; Actinopteri; Cypriniformes; Cobitidae. The record is from RefSeq and is a predicted model, not a curated record.
AAAGCAGGUGAUGGCAAUUUACUACUAAUCAAGGAACUGGCUUUACUGACGAGAUGCGCAUGAUAUCGCAUGCGAUUUAUCGUGCAGCCCUAGAUUUUACAUUAGUGACAACACAGCUUAGAGGAUAAACAUGUACAUUUCUCUGAAUCUGAGUUAAUAGUUACAAAUACAGAGCUUAUAAUGUCUGUCAUUGCUCAACCACAAAGACCUAAAAGUACAGCCAGCUGAUUUCAUAACUAAUGCAGUAUUACACUGUGAAGUGAUUUACUGUUAAUAUUUUACACUACCAUAUAAUUAACUAUAUUUGUAUAGGUGAGGUAACACAAGAAAAACUAACAGGAUGGAGACUACCUGAUUCUUCACCUAUGGCCUCAGCUUCAAAUGCAAGAAGCAAGAAAUGCUAUAUGACUGUGCAUUUUGCAUUAUGAAUACAUUAUGAAUACAUCAAAGAUGUUGAUAACAAGUUGAUCUGCGUAAAUUGUGACAUAAAGAAUAUGUAUAUAUAUUUCCAUCUAUCUUUCUAUAACAUUAUUUCAAUUGUUUUCACAUGUAGGUCCAGCAACUGUCUGAGUUGGUGUAUAUUCUGUCAGAGACUGCGUGAACAAUGUUAUGAACAGAAUGAUGUCUAAUUGUCUUAUGGCAAAGUUCAAUAUAAGCGGUGGUGGACAUCUGGAAAAGAAGGCUUUUAAAGGCACACCUUUGUAUUAUGUUAUUCAAGAUGCUGUGAAGAGGUGGAGCCCAAAUGCCACAGACUCGGAAAUAGAUGCAGCUAUGGCAGACCACCUCAAGCACGCUCCAGGAAGAGCUGGGGGUUGUGAAUACACUAAAUAAGCCAAACAGCUGUAAUGUGUAAAAGAGUUGACCCAAAAAUGAAAAUUGUUAUAAUUUUCUUACCCACAUGUUUCAAACCUGUAUACAUUUCUAUUUUCUGCUGAACACAAAGAUUGAAAAAUGUUUGUAACCAAGCUAACUGUCAAUAAUUUUUUUUUACAACUGUAGUAAUGGGUUGUGAGAUCUGCUUUCUGCUUUCUAUUCUUUCAAAUAUCUUUGUGUUCAGCAGAACAUAGAAAAGUAUACAGGUUUGAAACAUAAGAGAGAGUAAAUUACUAAAUAAUCAUUUUUGGGUGAACUAUCCUUUUAUAUAGUAAAGUAUUUUGAAAUUGUUAUUAUAGUUAAACAGUUUAAAAAAAAUAAAAAGUGCUAAAUCAGAA